Eurytemora carolleeae is the source of this 737-nucleotide long non-coding RNA. RefSeq lists it as uncharacterized. The transcript has 4 exons. The record is from RefSeq and is a predicted model, not a curated record. Lineage: Eukaryota; Metazoa; Arthropoda; Copepoda; Calanoida; Temoridae.
GUUUUGGAGGAAAAAGUUUUUUUUGCAGUUUCGGGUUUGAUCCGUUUCCGUGGAUUCGCAUAUUUUUGCGGAUCCGGGUCUUAAGUACUGCUUAUUCGCAUAAUAAUGAUGCAGAUUCCUAGCACUGAAUUGUUCAUAACUGACGAAUAAUGUGUUAAAGCAUACUGUUUGUUUCAGGGCAUGUCGAAUUGCGUGUGGAAAUUUCUGAAAUAUUCUGCUUUGUCCACGACUGGAUAGUGUUGACUGGUUAUACAAGGAAUGAUCUAGCUGCAGUGGGUUUUAAAGGAUCCCUGUCAACAUUUUAGUAAAAUACGAUGAUAGAAUGUAAGUCGCAGGAUUGGUGGAUUUUGAGAAGGGGACUGGUUCUGUAUUUAAAUAGCAUGUGUGAAGGCAUCUAGGUUAUCGCAUUGAUUUUGGUUUACGAACUUUGGGAGAAAAUCUUCAGCUGCUCCUCCGCUAUGCAGUACAAGUCUUAUAUUUCACUUACAAUUUAUUUCAUUCAAGAAGUAUCUUUUGUUUUGUUUCUAUUUAGACAAUGUUUAAGAAAAUUAUAAGAGUUUAUUUUUAUUGGUUGCCUCUCGAAAGACUUAAAUAUCAAAUUAUUUUUUUUUUUUUGCAUAGCGCAGGUUUAUGGCGGCUGAGGGUUACUUAUCACCUGGGCCACAGACCAUGUUCUUAAAAGUUCGACAAUUUUAUACUUAAGUUAAGUUGUAAAAUAAAUUUUUUUACAAAAAAAA